GCAGACGGGCAUUUCGUCGCUCAUUGCAGUUGAAGCAAUGUGAGGAAAGUCCGGGCAACAUAGAGCACCAAACUUCCUAACGGGAAGCUGUCGGCAACGGUAGAGUAGCGUGACAGAAAAUAACCGCCCNCGCGNNCAANGCGCNGCGCAGGNAAGGGUGAAAAGGUGGGGUAAGAGCCCACCGGGGCCGANGGCAGNNAUGUNGCGUGCCGCACGCCUUAUGGGUUGCAAGGNCAAGUAUACCGGCAUUUAAGGGUUGCUCGCCCAUUGCCGGGGGGUAGGCUGCUAAAGCCGCGAUGGUGACAUCCGGUUCAGAUAAAUGACGAAACGUUGUCGAGGUAACCCUCUCAAGAAAGGUAGUCCCGACAGCCGACAUAACCCGGCUUAUCGUCCGUCUGCGCUU
Molecule: RNase P RNA, 403 nt
Filed under: Barnesiella sp.
Lineage: Bacteria; Pseudomonadati; Bacteroidota; Bacteroidia; Bacteroidales; Barnesiellaceae
Description: RNase P RNA component class A
Rfam family: Bacterial RNase P class A
About the family: Ribonuclease P (RNase P) is a ubiquitous endoribonuclease, found in archaea, bacteria and eukarya as well as chloroplasts and mitochondria. Its best characterised activity is the generation of mature 5'-ends of tRNAs by cleaving the 5'-leader elements of precursor-tRNAs.
Source: RNAcentral